GGAGAGUUGGGUGAGCGGCUUAAACCACCUCACUGCUAACGAGGCGCGCCGCAAGGUGCCGAGAGUUCGAAUCUCUCACUCUCCGCCA
This 88-nucleotide transfer RNA is filed under the name Granulicella aggregans. RNAcentral describes it as "tRNA-Ser". It matches the Rfam family "tRNA". Rfam says of the family: Transfer RNA (tRNA) molecules are approximately 80 nucleotides in length. Their secondary structure includes four short double-helical elements and three loops (D, anti-codon, and T loops). Further hydrogen bonds mediate the characteristic L-shaped molecular structure. tRNAs have two regions of fundamental functional importance: the anti-codon, which is responsible for specific mRNA codon recognition, and the 3' end, to which the tRNAs corresponding amino acid is attached (by aminoacyl-tRNA synthetases). tRNAs cope with the degeneracy of the genetic code in two manners: having more than one tRNA (with a specific anti-codon) for a particular amino acid; and 'wobble' base-pairing, i.e. permitting non-standard base-pairing at the 3rd anti-codon position. The record is from RNAcentral. Lineage: Bacteria; Pseudomonadati; Acidobacteriota; Terriglobia; Terriglobales; Acidobacteriaceae.